GCCAUUUUUUGAUUUCAAUGUCAGGAGCACUAAAAUUGAUCUGAAGCUUCAUGCGUUAAAUAUAGGCUAACGUUUUUUGUGCAUUUAGUAUUUGAGUCUAAAAACCAGUUUCAAAUUCUUAUCACUUUGAGCCUUGAAACUACUGAUGAUGUGUUCACUAGCACAAAUCAACAAUUGCAAAUGCCUCCACAGGCUACUGAUAAACAAUCCAAUGUCUAAUAUAAUCUAUACAAUCCCACUACGGUCCAUUAAUACAAUUAAAAUAUUACUCAAACAAGCAGUUUAACAGUUCAGGUGCAAACAUAUGUUCUUCAUUAUUUAACUUCGAAACAAGUUUCUACAAGUGAAUGCAAUCAUCAUCAUCACUUGAGCAUAAGAAUAUACCUGGAAAUUGUAAUAAAAAUGAAGAAAUAGGAAGUCAGCUAAGAUAAUAGCAAGCAGUAGCUUACAACCAAGGCAGCUGAAUCAAUUAUAAUUCCCAAAAAUACCACAGCAACUCAGAAUCAAUUUGCAGAUGAGUAAACACCAGCAAACAAACAAAAUCAGAUGAGAUUGGACCAAGAUGAGAUUGGACCAAAAUAAACCCGAAAUCGACCGGAAUUCCCUAAACUUGAACCAAAUGAGAUCCAGAAGACAUUCAAACCAUUUUUUAACCUUCUGUUAAGCUGAAAACUUUAUCUACAACUGAAAUUCAAGCUUAAACUAAGAGACUUCUAAUGGAACAGUAUUUUUAUGGGGUUUUCUAUAGCUUUUGAGUAUUUUUUGAACAUUUUCAGAUGAAAAAGAGAUUUUUGAAUUCUAGAUCUGGUUUUCUUAUCUGAAAUUCAAAUUUCAGUUUGUAGAGACUUAGGGAAUUUUUGGGGGGAAUUUUAGAUGCUCCAAAAACUUCUUCCCUAAUGUACUAGUCAUGCCUUUUUAUAGGCAAAAUGAGGGGCAGCCUUCAGAUUUCAGUUUUAGUCCUUAGUCCCUCAAUUAUUUUCAGAUUUUAACUAACUAGUCCCCUAGCUUACUGACUUGUUUCUCAAGUUAAUACACCUAAUUCCUGAAUUUACCUUAGAACCCCCAUCUAGAAACUUCUAGGAAGUUCUAUUUCAGUUAGUGCAAGAUUCCUACCCUUGAAUUACCUCAUUCACCCUUUAAUUAUUCUGAAACUACCAAUCUAACACCAAACUAUACCUCAGCCUUGUUUCCCCCUAAUCAAACCUAUCAUCUAUACCCAAACAAUCACUUUAACUAUGCUUAACUAAACAAGCUCUAAAUCAAAUGUUCAUGAGUGAACAAUCUCCUAAAAUCAAACUAGGUGGACAAAUUAAACCAAUUAUCAAGUUAAUCCUAUUAAUGAACUACAUUCAACAGCUAAAUCUAAUUGUAGUAAUUAAUUGGCUAACAGAGAAUCAAACCUAUUAAAACUUGCAAAAAUUAAACAAAACUGUAGAAACGCCUUUAAACUAAUCAUGACAUGCUUAACCCUAAAUUGAAAGCAACCAAACACAAUUGAAUUAACUAACCACACUCCACUAUUGAUCAAAAGAGGAUGAAGAACAAACAAAUAAAAUCAGACUAACCUAAUCGAAUACUAGUUUAAACGAACUGACAAAAGAAAAAUAAGGAGAAAUAAAAUAAAAUCCAAAAUUGAUUAAUCGAACAGAAAUAUUAGUCAACAAGAAGAAACUAAUGAAGAAUAACAAAUAACACUUUACCUACGGAGACCUAAGAUCCUGCCGCUCCCCCGAUUUGAAAUUCGACCCAUUCCAGCAAGAUUCAAACAUCACCAAUGGUGGAUUCUUCAUGAGGAGAGUGAGGAGAUCACGUGAUGUCGAUUUGACUAGAUUUGGAGUAUUUUAGGGUUUUACGCCAGACUUUGAUUUGAAAUUUGAGGAACUCGGCGGGGAUUCGAGGGAAAUGGCUUGGACAUUUGAGAUGAGGAAGUUAAGGUGAGGUUGUAGAGUAAUUUUGACCGGAUUUGGAAGAAGUGGGGUUUUGGCUGGAUUUUCAAAUGAAGAUUUGAAGAGAUGGGCAAUGAUUAGACGGGAACUUAAGGUAUAUUUGGAAAUAGGGGAACGAGAGGAAGCUACAGUGUUAUUUUGGGUGGGAACGAAGUGGUUUCCGUCGUCGAAGCCGGCGGGCUCGACGGAGUGUAACAGGGCGGCGUCUCUAGGGUUUGGAUAGGGUGUGAAUGAAAGAGAUGGACUGGGGGGGUAGAGGUCGAUUCAGACAGUUAAAUAUUAUGGGGGAAGGGCUUUUCGACUAUCCGAUUGAUAAAC
RNAcentral lists this long non-coding RNA (2264 nucleotides) under Nicotiana benthamiana. RNAcentral describes it as "long non-coding RNA (NBEN_LNC032690)". The record is from RNAcentral. Lineage: Eukaryota; Viridiplantae; Streptophyta; Magnoliopsida; Solanales; Solanaceae.